AACGAACGUUAGCGGCGCGCUUAACACAUGCAAGUCGAACGAGAAAGGGCUUCGGCCCCGGUACAGUGGCGCACGGGUGAGUAACACGUAGGUAACCUGCCCUUGAGUGGUGGAUAACAUUCCGAAAGGAGUGCUAAUACAGCAUAAGACCACGGUUCCAUCAAGGAACAGGGGUCAAAGCGGGCCUCUUCAUGAAAGCUCGCGCUUGGGGAUGGGCCUGCGGCGCAUCAGCUAGUUGGUGAGGUAAUGGCUCACCAAGGCUAAGACGCGUAGCUGGUCUGAGAGGAUGAUCAGCCACACUGGAACUGAGACACGGUCCAGACUCCUACGGGAGGCAGCAGUGGGGAAUAUUGCACAAUGGGCGAAAGCCUGAUGCAGCGACGCCGCGUGAGGGAUGACGGCCUCGGUUGUAACCGUACUUUCUAGUCAGGAAGGAAGACGAAAGUAGACGGUACCGUCGCACGAAGAAGACACCGGCGUAACUACGU
RNAcentral lists this ribosomal RNA (488 nucleotides) under uncultured bacterium. RNAcentral describes it as "bacterial SSU rRNA". It matches the Rfam family "Bacterial small subunit ribosomal RNA", at positions 29 to 506 of the family's 1533-position model. The record is from RNAcentral.